AGCAGCUGGUUCACUCCCCAAAUGGCCGGAAAGGCCCCAGGUGGGCUGGCCCAAAGCUGGGAAGCAGGGGCUUCUUCCGGGUCUCCUACCUAGGUACAGGAGCCGAAGAACCUGGGCCAUCUGCUACUGCUUUCUCAGAACCCAGAGAAGGAACGGCAUUCUGCAACCUGAGAGUUAAAAGAGGGAAUGACAUGAGAACCAAGGAGAAACCUAUUCUGAACCCCAGAGACCCAGAUCACGCGGCACAGCUGUGGGCUAAUUAUCAAAAGAUGUGUCUGAGGCUGUGUUGGCGCAGAGGGUGUUGAGUGCCAUGUCAGAGAUGGAAAGCAGAACAGUUUGGCCCAUGCUCCUGGACAAGCUUUGACAGCAAGUGUUUGGGUGAGUUGCUGAAUUAAGGUGGACUUUGUUAGCCAAAGAGAUCUUGGAAAGACGUCCUCAACUUUGGAGCAACAAAACCAAGAACUUUUCAGAACUAUCAAAACCAGCCAAGCAAUACCUCAGAACAUUCUCCACAUUGGGGUUUCUAAGAUGACAUCAGAUGGCCAUCUCCCACACCCUAAUACUGAUGUGCUUUGGU
Long non-coding RNA from Ochotona princeps (American pika), 577 nucleotides. RefSeq lists it as uncharacterized. The record is from RefSeq and is a predicted model, not a curated record. The transcript is spliced from 3 exons. Lineage: Eukaryota; Metazoa; Chordata; Mammalia; Lagomorpha; Ochotonidae.